CUCCCAGUCAGCCAGGCACAGGGCCCCAGCAAGCCACGGGCAUGGUCACUCUCUCUGCAAGGGAUUCUCCCAGAUCUCCUGCAGUCGCUCCACAGGAAACUAACACGCCCUCUAGACAUCUGCAGAUUGCGUGAAGCGGAGACCAUUUCCUGCCCCAUCUGUGGCCCACAGUGCUUGGGAGCAGCAGGGCCCCAGGAGGAGGAGGAGGAUACUCACACCCUGCAGCCGGUCGGGAUGUUCAGCUGCACUGCUGGGAAGAGAAUAAUCUGCACCUCAUGGCCUGGGUAUGGAAACAGUGUGAAGCGAGAUAUCUGCACACCUCCCCUGGGGCAGGCAGAAACGAGGAGCUACCUGGAGCCAGUGCACCACUCCUGAGCUGGAGGCUGGAAAACAACUCAAGUUCAAGGGCUUAAGGAAUCUGAGGGAAUAAAGGCUUCCUGAGAGGGACUGUUAGGGAAAUAGCUCCUCAACCA
RNAcentral lists this long non-coding RNA (473 nucleotides) under Chinchilla lanigera (long-tailed chinchilla). RNAcentral's name for it is "lncRNA (ENSCLAG00000028185.1)". Lineage: Eukaryota; Metazoa; Chordata; Mammalia; Rodentia; Chinchillidae. The record is from RNAcentral.